This 1556-nucleotide ribosomal RNA is filed under the name Escherichia coli. Its description in RNAcentral is "bacterial SSU rRNA". It matches the Rfam family "Bacterial small subunit ribosomal RNA". The record is from RNAcentral. Lineage: Bacteria; Pseudomonadati; Pseudomonadota; Gammaproteobacteria; Enterobacterales; Enterobacteriaceae.
UUAAAUUGAAGAGUUUGAUCAUGGCUCAGAUUGAACGCUGGCGGCAGGCCUAACACAUGCAAGUCGAACGGUAACAGGAAGCAGCUUGCUGCUUUGCUGACGAGUGGCGGACGGGUGAGUAAUGUCUGGGAAACUGCCUGAUGGAGGGGGAUAACUACUGGAAACGGUAGCUAAUACCGCAUAACGUCGCAAGACCAAAGAGGGGGACCUUAGGGCCUCUUGCCAUCGGAUGUGCCCAGAUGGGAUUAGCUAGUAGGUGGGGUAAAGGCUCACCUAGGCGACGAUCCCUAGCUGGUCUGAGAGGAUGACCAGCCACACUGGAACUGAGACACGGUCCAGACUCCUACGGGAGGCAGCAGUGGGGAAUAUUGCACAAUGGGCGCAAGCCUGAUGCAGCCAUGCCGCGUGUAUGAAGAAGGCCUUCGGGUUGUAAAGUACUUUCAGCGGGGAGGAAGGGAGUAAAGUUAAUACCUUUGCUCAUUGACGUUACCCGCAGAAGAAGCACCGGCUAACUCCGUGCCAGCAGCCGCGGUAAUACGGAGGGUGCAAGCGUUAAUCGGAAUUACUGGGCGUAAAGCGCACGCAGGCGGUUUGUUAAGUCAGAUGUGAAAUCCCCGGGCUCAACCUGGGAACUGCAUCUGAUACUGGCAAGCUUGAGUCUCGUAGAGGGGGGUAGAAUUCCAGGUGUAGCGGUGAAAUGCGUAGAGAUCUGGAGGAAUACCGGUGGCGAAGGCGGCCCCCUGGACGAAGACUGACGCUCAGGUGCGAAAGCGUGGGGAGCAAACAGGAUUAGAUACCCUGGUAGUCCACGCCGUAAACGAUGUCGACUUGGAGGCUGUGCCCUUGAGGCGUGGCUUCCGGAGCUAACGCGUUAAGUCGACCGCCUGGGGAGUACGGCCGCAAGGUUAAAACUCAAAUGAAUUGACGGGGGCCCGCACAAGCGGUGGAGCAUGUGGUUUAAUUCGAUGCAACGCGAAGAACCUUACCUGGUCUUGACAUCCACGGAAGUUUUCAGAGAUGAGAAUGUGCCUUCGGGAACCGUGAGACAGGUGCUGCAUGGCUGUCGUCAGCUCGUGUUGUGAAAUGUUGGGUUAAGUCCCGCAACGAGCGCAACCCUUAUCCUUUGUUGCCAGCGGUCCGGCCGGGAACUCAAAGGAGACUGCCAGUGAUAAACUGGAGGAAGGUGGGGAUGACGUCAAGUCAUCAUGGCCCUUACGACCAGGGCUACACACGUGCUACAAUGGCGCAUACAAAGAGAAGCGACCUCGCGAGAGCAAGCGGACCUCAUAAAGUGCGUCGUAGUCCGGAUUGGAGUCUGCAACUCGACUCCAUGAAGUCGGAAUCGCUAGUAAUCGUGGAUCAGAAUGCCACGGUGAAUACGUUCCCGGGCCUUGUACACACCGCCCGUCACACCAUGGGAGUGGGUUGCAAAAGAAGUAGGUAGCUUAACCUUCGGGAGGGCGCUUACCACUUUGUGAUUCAUGACUGGGGUGAAGUCGUAACAAGGUAACCGUAGGGGAACCUGCGGUUGGAUCACCUCCUUACCUUAAAGAAGC